This 498-nucleotide long non-coding RNA is filed under the name Bos taurus (domestic cattle). RNAcentral's name for it is "long non-coding RNA NONBTAT022639". The record is from RNAcentral. Lineage: Eukaryota; Metazoa; Chordata; Mammalia; Artiodactyla; Bovidae.
GAAUUACUGGCUUGUAAAAAAUUCUGCCAGUUCAUAAAAAUGCUGUGUACCUUGCUACCUAUUCAAGUCAAAGUGGGAAAUCACAAGAAUGACGUGUAAAGAUGUGGCUUGUGUUGGUUGUGAUUGUGGUUACGUGGAAUGUUGUUUGGGUAGAAUGAUGUAUUUCUAGAACUUCAGUAAAUGCCAGAAUCUUAACAGUGGAGCAUUUAGAGAGAGAGUCGGAAGUUGAAUGCAUGGCAUCUCAAUUUGGAGAUGUUAACACUGUUUUGGAAAUGGCCUAUUCAUAAGGAGGUAUUUUUUUUCUGUAUAGUACUUUUAGUUUCAGAAAAUGUAAUUUAUAUUUGUGCUGAGUGAUGGGUUAUAAACAUAUUCAGAAAGCAAUCCUAAUCUCUGAAUGUGUUUCAUUUAAAAAGAGUUUUGGGGGAACUGAAAUCUCCUCACUGUUUCAUAUGAGAAAAAUGUUUGAUUUUCUAUUAUGUCUGUGGUGUGUGUUCCCUA